GAAGGCCCCACUGUCUUAAGAGAAUUCCCAGUGAAAUUGAAUUCGUAGUGAAGAUGCUACGUCCAAUUUGUUAGACGAAAAGACCCCAUUGAGCUUUACUGGAGUCUUACAUUGCUCGGAUCAACUCUCGCCCCCCCCUUGGCGGGGGGGUCGAAUUUAAAUGGAUAGCUUAGAUUAUGUGGUGUCAUAACCGUCGAUCAAGUAGUCCUUACAGGAUUACCCCCCCGAAGGUUGACCUAUUUGGGUGAAUGAAACCCCACUCUUCUUUGUUAAAUGAGCUAACCCUUUUCUCCCUUAAAGGGGACAAUGUAAGUUGGACAGUUUGGUUGGGGCGACCGCCUUUUAAAGAGUAACGAAGGUGUGCUUAAGGUACAUAAUUUAUAACACAAGCCUGACUGCGAGGGGGACCCUCCGAGCAGACACCUAAAGUCUUCUCCCUUCCCCCCGAAGGUUAAAGACGAAUUGGGUUAUAGUGACCCGUUAAUUUAGAGUGGAAUAGUUAACGAUCAACGAAUAAAAGUUACCAUGGGGA
This 532-nucleotide ribosomal RNA is filed under the name Epizoanthus arenaceus. Its description in RNAcentral is "partial 16S ribosomal RNA". It matches the Rfam family "Bacterial large subunit ribosomal RNA", at positions 2006 to 2474 of the family's 2925-position model. The record is from RNAcentral. Lineage: Eukaryota; Metazoa; Cnidaria; Anthozoa; Zoantharia; Epizoanthidae.